CCGGGAUAGCUCAGCUGGUANAGCAGAGGACUGAAAAUCCUCGUGUCA
Molecule: transfer RNA, 48 nt
Filed under: Maripa repens
Lineage: Eukaryota; Viridiplantae; Streptophyta; Magnoliopsida; Solanales; Convolvulaceae
Description: partial tRNA-Phe
Source: RNAcentral